Molecule: ribosomal RNA, 253 nt
Filed under: uncultured bacterium
Lineage: Bacteria
Description: partial 16S ribosomal RNA
Rfam family: Bacterial small subunit ribosomal RNA
Source: RNAcentral
UACGAAGGGGGCUAGCGUUGUUCGGAAUUACUGGGCGUAAAGCGAGUGUAGGCGGUUCGGUAAGUCGGAUGUGAAAGCCCCGGGCUCAACCCGGGAAGUGCACUCGAUACUGCCGAGCUAGAGUAUCGGAGAGGUUGGUGGAAUUCUCGGUGUAGAGGUGAAAUUCGUAGAUAUCGAGAGGAACACCGGUGGCGAAGGCGGCCAACUGGACGAAUACUGACGCUGAGACUCGAAAGCGUGGGGAGCAAACAGG